Long non-coding RNA from Acinonyx jubatus (cheetah), 532 nucleotides. RefSeq lists it as uncharacterized. NCBI's taxonomy places the organism in Eukaryota, Metazoa, Chordata, Mammalia, Carnivora, Felidae. The record is from RefSeq and is a predicted model, not a curated record. The transcript is spliced from 3 exons.
UUUAGGCCUCUGCAGCUCUGAGAUUCUCGAACUCUGUAACCAUCUCUUUAAAGAUGGAAAGCAGAGAUGCUGAGCUAGACCAGAUGUGGUGGAUAAAGCCAAGAUAAUCAGCCCAGCGGUUUCUCUCUCUCCAGUGCCCUGCGUCAGCAAGGCCUUGGCAGGCUUCACACCCAGCAUGGAGCCCAACACAAGGCUUGAACUCACAACCCUGAGCUCAAGACCUGAGGUGAGAUCAAGAGUCAGAUGCUUAACUGACUGAACCACUCAGGCGUCCCUAGAAGCCAGCUGAUUUCUAAAUGUAUCUUCCCAUCUACAAAAUGUUGUUAUUUCUGGAGAUUUGGACAGUGCAAGAUGGACCAUACAGAGGAAUAAAAGACCAGAAAGUCAUCUGAGCUACUCCCCAAACUUUAGGCAUACUGCACUGAAACCAAUCUAGACUUCCAGAAAAGAUAAUUCUACCACCUUCUCUCAGAUUCAAAUCACACUGACUGCAUCCUAAGCCCAUUCUCUUUUAUUCUGUGUUGACUGGAGA